Molecule: long non-coding RNA, 1112 nt
Filed under: Sorghum bicolor (sorghum)
Lineage: Eukaryota; Viridiplantae; Streptophyta; Magnoliopsida; Poales; Poaceae
Description: long non-coding RNA (SBIC_LNC007543)
Source: RNAcentral
GUUGCUGGCCUAUACAUAUUUCUAGCACCAGAUGUGACAAACAAGGGACUGAAACAAGUAUAAAAGGCAGAAAUGAAAACAUAGACAAGACAAAAGGCACCACAAACAAUAGCGCUACUAGUUGUUCCUUAUGUGCUUCUCUUCUUUUUCUUUUCUUUAAUUUUAUUUUUUCAAAUUUUUUUGCUUUUAUGAUUUUGAUAUUUUUCUCAACAAGUAGCAAACAAGAACAAACCACAAAAAUUAUGAGCUCAAUUGGAUAAAACAUGUGGCCUAUAAACAUAUAAUUAUUUUUCUUUGUAAAGUAUAUCAAAACUUGUGGGCUUGAAAACUUAACCUUCCUGACUGAAUUUCAUAUAUCUAAAUUUUAAAAGAAACAGAUAUGAAAUUUCCUAGCAUUCUCUAAAAGUAUAAAAUUUACCAUGUUUCGAGCCUGGAUGUAAAAUUUAUUACUGUUUUAGGAAAGACAUUCUAAAGAGGGUUUUAUGUGGAUACGAUGUAAUACCCGAUUUUAAGGACAAAAUCAGAUACAUAUGUGAGUUUUAAAAGCCAAAUCUCACAUAUAGCUACAAAUAAAGUGUAAUAUCAAAAGACAAUGCAUAAAUAUAACGUACUUAAUAUAAAAGGGAUAACCUUUGAUAGCAAACAGCGGAUAGACAACUCCAACUUCGGGUAUUAACUUCUCUCUACAGGAUCCAACUGACUGGUUGAUCACAAGCCUAAACUCCUCCUGAAGUAUGGGGGGAAUAGCAAGAGUGAGUCCACGUCGAACUCCACAAGUAUAGCAACUAGAUUGUAUAGAUCCCACAAUCUCAUGAUCAAUGUGACAUAAAUAAUGUAAAGCAUUAAACAAUAAAUAAUGAGUAUAUUUAACACACAAGAAUCAUCAUCGUCGAUGCAAGAAUCCCCAAGGCCGCUCUUGACCGUGAGCACGGCUAGUAUAUUAGUUUUAACACUGCAAAGGUUGUACAUCUUUACCCAUGAGUCAUGAUUUACCCUUUCGCUCGAGGCCGUCGACCUCUUAACCCACUACCAAGGAAGGUCGGCAGGGAUCACUAUGAAGCCUUUCAAAAGUUCGUCUAACAUGUUAGGGCCGUAAGGUUUCCUUUGCGCGC